Molecule: unclassified non-coding RNA, 285 nt
Filed under: Rhizoctonia fusispora
Lineage: Eukaryota; Fungi; Basidiomycota; Agaricomycetes; Cantharellales; Ceratobasidiaceae
Description: partial internal transcribed spacer region
Rfam family: Eukaryotic small subunit ribosomal RNA (bases 1-46)
Source: RNAcentral
AAGUCGUAACAAGGUUUCCGUAGGUGAACCUGCGGAAGGAUCAUUAUCGAAUGAAUGUGGGGUCUGGUUGUCGCUGGCCUGCAAAGGCAUGUGCACGCCUCCUCUCUCAUCCACACACCCCUGUGCACUUGUGAGACGGAGGCUUAUCUUCUUCCCUUUUGUUUAGGGAGAGAUCGGUUUCCGUCUGCCAUUAUUAAUACAAGCUCAAUUAAUUUAAUCUGAAUGUAAUUGACGCAACGCGUCUAAUAAAUAUACAAAGUUUCAACAACGGAUCUCUUGGCUCUC